Molecule: ribosomal RNA, 497 nt
Filed under: uncultured bacterium
Lineage: Bacteria
Description: partial 16S ribosomal RNA
Rfam family: Bacterial small subunit ribosomal RNA
Source: RNAcentral
GAUGAACGCUGGCGGCGUGCCUAAUACAUGCAAGUCGAGCGAACAGACGAGGAGCUUGCUCCUCUGACGUUAGCGGCGGACGGGUGAGUAACACGUGGAUAACCUACCUAUAAGACUGGGAUAACUUCGGGAAACCGGAGCUAAUACCGGAUAAUAUAUUGAACCGCAUGGUUCAAUAGUGAAAGACGGUUUUGCUGUCACUUAUAGAUGGAUCCGCGCCGCAUUAGCUAGUUGGUAAGGUAACGGCUUACCAAGGCAACGAUGCGUAGCCGACCUGAGAGGGUGAUCGGCCACACUGGAACUGAGACACGGUCCAGACUCCUACGGGAGGCAGCAGUAGGGAAUCUUCCGCAAAGGGCGAAAGCCUGACGGAGCAUCGCCGCGUGAGUGAUGAAGGUCUUCGGAUCGUAAAACUCUGUUAUUAGGGAAGAACAAAUGUGUAAGUAACUAUGCACGUCUUGACGGUACCUAAUCAGAAAGCCACGGCUAACUACGUG